GGCCGGUUGGCCCAAUGGCAAGGCGUCUGACUACGAUUCCACAACUUCUCUCUCCCCUCGGACGUUCGAGCGGGAGAGUGGAUGGUUUACAAUCAGUCAUCAGGAGAUUCUGGGUUCGACCCCCAGGCUGGUCA
Molecule: transfer RNA, 134 nt
Organism: Colletotrichum incanum
Lineage: Eukaryota; Fungi; Ascomycota; Sordariomycetes; Glomerellales; Glomerellaceae
Rfam family: tRNA
About the family: Transfer RNA (tRNA) molecules are approximately 80 nucleotides in length. Their secondary structure includes four short double-helical elements and three loops (D, anti-codon, and T loops).
Source: Rfam